AGAGCUUUUUUCUUCACUGAGGAAGGCACCGAGCUUGGUUGGAGUUGGUUUCUGGCUGCAGCUGUUGGUCCCGAAGGUUUGCUCAGCCCUACAUCUGCUACUGCAUGAAUGUGGAGGAAGAGGAGGAAUCCAGAGCCGUACAGCCCACCAUUUUCACAAGCUCAGAGGACAACCAGGGUCCUGCUUCAUCCCCAUCACCCAGUUUGUUUAGUGCCACGAAGGUCCCACGCUGCCAUCCCUGCUGAGACAUGGCAGAGAUGAUGAAGAGUGGGUUGAGUCAAGAUGACAAGGACCAUAUUGGUAGUCAAGGUGGUGCACUUACUGGCCAUUUUGUUCAUCAAGAUGAGGUUUUGGAUCUAACACAAAUGGCCAAGAAGGAUUUCAGAGUGAGGAGAAGCAGCUGUUGACGGGGAGCAGGGUGGCUUCUCUGGGGUUUAUUGUUUUAAUCAUGGCCUAAGCGAAAGUGACAGCAUGAAGAUGAAAUAUCUGCUGAAAGGAAAUCAUAACUCUGGGUGACUCCACUUAGCUCUGUGACAGGCGAGGGUGUAUUUUCGUUGGACACGGUGGAUUGUGAUCUCAAUGGAGCUUUUGCUGGAACCUUCCUCCUGCCUUAGUGUUGGUGGGUUUGUGGCAUCCCCAGCGCAGCAUGGGAGCUCUUAGACCUACCUGAAGCCUUUUGUUGAAGCUGACCUGCUGGCCUCGGUGGGGUCUGGUUUCUGGGGAGAUCUCAAGAUGGGAAGCCACAAUACUGAAUGGGGCUUUGUAAUCCCAAAGGAGACAAGGAGGACAAGGCAGUGAGCAUGGGGUCUGCUCAUCAGGGAAGAGAAGGACCUUCCCACUGGGGAUGAAGCAUGCCAGAAGAGGAGAAAAGGCUGUUAGGCUGAGAACGAAUGACCAGCAGGAACCCAACCUACCAGGGUCAUGGCCACCCCACCGAACAUCUGGCACACAGGACCUCUGCACGCCCCAUUGCCUGGCCCCAGUGGGUUAAAUGGUGCACGUGGCUGUAAAGUGUUUGAGCUGGCGCAUCUCUGAGCACCAUAAACAUGGGGGAGAACAGUUUCUAAAAUAGCAUCUUUCAUGUUCCCGAAAAAAUGUUCUCAUGUGCUCUGCUGGCUGAAACCACUGUUACGAAACAAAAUGCUUCCCAUAAGCAGUCAUUAGGGCUUGAGCCUGGGCUGGGGUGCUGCUUGAUACAACGAGAGCAGUUAACGAGAGCAGAACAGGACCAGAACAGAAAAGUCAGCAGAGUUGUUAUUUUCUUAAUUAAAAAAACACAUCCUAAACCGCUAAUGGUGCCAGAACACUCCCAGUCCUUCUGUUGGAUGGGAGCCCUGGCAGCGCCUUCAUGCAGAGCUCAACCUCCAGCCCCUGUGCUGGGACAGGGUGACGGGGGGUGGGGGGACAAUCACAGAUGUCCCCAUGCAGCCACGUGUGUCCCCACCUGCACAGCUCCAUGGGCUGCGUGCCUGAGGGUGGCUCACUCCAUAGAUUUUUCUCUUUGAGGACGGUGUUGCUGCAUUGCGUGUAAGUUGAUUUCAUUGCAUGUGUUGAAUUUAUUGAAGUGAACAGGGAGAAGUGUGGGCUGUACAGGAGCAGGAAGGUGCCUGUGCCCAAAAACGUUUUGGAAAUGUGUGUUGCAUGUGCCAUACACAUGCAACUGAUAUUUGUUUGUGCUGUACUAAUGCACGCAGCUAUAUUCUUGAGUUUCAGCCGUAGGUGCAUGAUUCACUGAAUGGUAGGGGCUGGAAGGGACCUCUGGAGACCAUUGAGCCCAACCCCACACUGAAGCAGGUUCCCUACAGUAGGUUGAGCAGGAAAACACCCAGGCAGGUUUUGAAUAUCUCCAGUUUGGAGUGCAGUCCAGGCUCUGCUCCCCCAUCCAGCCAAUGCAUGUGCCAUGUUUUUCACUGAGGACCUGCAGGUAACACAGACCCUCUGCGGCAGCAAAAAUGAUGAAUUAAAAGAAAGAGAAGGGGACAGAGAGGAGGUAAGUGCUGGAGGGGACUGAGGAAGGAUCUGCAGUGCUUUGGGACUGAGACAAGCCUUCGUGUCCCUCUGCCCAGCUGCUGCUGUGGGGCUCCUGUCCCUGGUGUUCUUUUUUGGAGAGGUUUGCAUAGUGUGGCUGAAAUGCUGCUUGCCCACCACCCUCGCUGCUGUUGUUCACCUUUCCUCCUUUUCCAAAAAAGGGAUUUGAGGGAGUUGUUUAAGGAAAAAAAAACAACUACCUCAUUGUUUUUCCUGGCCAAAUGCUACCUGAAAUCUGACGACCCCCUCCAGAACUUUUAUGCGCUUAAACGUCACUGUUUCAGCGAAUUCUAAAAUUUGUGGUUUAUUUGACACCAAGUGACUCUGCUCGUACUUGUUUUUCCUGGGAUGCCUUCAAGGUACGAGUCAUUAAACAACCACUUCUUGAAGGUGCUGGCGUGCUGGCCAUGUCCUGUUAUGGAUGAGUAACAGGGAAAUGAGCACUUGCUGAUUAACAGCGAUUCCCACAUUAAUGAUGAACACGAUGGGGAAGGAGCCAGAAUUUGAAGCUUGGCGUGCCAGCUUGGUGACGUGGGGACCGCUGGCUCCUUCCGAUGCCAGAGCAUGCUCAGAGCUGUCAAUCAAAAACCAGCCAUCAGCUCCAGCUACUUUCUGGCCAUACCUGCAGAUGUUCAAGAUGCUGAUGUACCUGCCUGAAGCAUGAAGCUGCUGUGGACUUCACUUGCAUCACAGGAAUAUUUCCUCUGAGUGACAGCUCUGCUGGGCUCUUCCCAUGGAGAACAAGAGAAGGAGAUGGGCAUCACCUCCCUUGUAGGACCGGGUCAUGAUGGGUUCCCAUCAAAGAGAUGGAGGAAGGGAAGCAUGCUGCAAAUGCUUUCUGUCACCAGGCAGCUUCCCUUAGACUUUGCGUUUCAUUUUAUUACUAGAAAACAUUAGCAGGGCAAUACGUCAGCAGGGGCCAGGACACGGUGUCCCCAAGAACUUGCCCUCCAGCAGUAAGACUCCAUGCUCAGUGUCUUGCAGGUGGCUCCUCUUGAAGCCCUACCUCUGGCAGGCUGUGUAAAUCUCUCUUCGAUCUCUGGUGGGACAUAAAUCUCCCCCAAAACGCAAUGCCUACCAAACAUUAUUGCAUGAUUGAGACAUAAAUCCUGUGUCAGCUCGGUGGAACAUCUGUGGCUACCAAGCUAACCAAGUCAAGACAGCUCCUUAACUAUUCCCAAACAUUAGCUUAUGAAGACGCAGACAACGAGCAGCCCAUCUGAAAUGCUUUCGAAGCAGCCGUUCGUCAUGUUUGUACAAGUCAUAAACAGGUUCUAUGGCUUCUGUCCCUGCCUUGAGCUUUUGGGAAUGGUGAUGUGGCGAUGUGGGAGUCGCCUUGGUUCUCAGGCUUUGAUUUUUCUUACAUUGAAGGAUAUCCUUGAUUCCCUGAAGUGCAGGUGGGGCCGUGAUUGUGCUCCAUCCCUUUGAGCCUCAGUCAUGCAUGGCAGCAUCUCAGGGCUGGUGGAGCUUGGAGCUGAGCCUUCGCACAACUGCCCAGGGAGAUCUCCCUGCAGGAGAAUGAAUCAGUCCUGCCGGCAGCUGGAGCAGCCCAAUGACGUGAGGUCAGGGGCUGGGCAGGGGAAGAUUUAAAGCCCUUUCUCUCCAGAACACGAACUCCUAUGACUUGGCUGUUUCAGCAGCUGUUACGGUCCUUGAUGGCGUGAAAUGUCAGCGAUGGACUUUGCCCAGCAUUUAUGUAAACUCUGAACUGUGCGCAGCCACGGGGCCAAGCUAUAAAUCUCCCAGAAGGAGCAAGGUUACAGAGCCUUCCAGGGCAAGCUGAAGUUGGAAGCAGAGGGAGGCUGAAUGUGUCUCUUGGCUCCCCACGGCCCUGGAUGCAGCAUCCAAGGGGAUGCCGUCUUUGGAGAGCCUCCACCACCUACCUGGCUGGAGACCUGAGUACUACUGGCCCUGUCCCAUGCUCUUUGAGGGUCACCUGCUCCUCAUGUUUCCUCUGUUCUGUAGAGGAUCUUGGGCUCUGCAGAGAGAUGCUUGAUCUUGGUGUCCCCGGAUGUGUGGGCAUGGCACCAAGGGACGUGGACUGCUGAUAGGACUUGGUAGGUCAAGUUGGUGAGUGGAGUCGAUGAUCUUGAAUGUCUUUUCCAACCAGGCUGGUUCUGUGAUUCCACGUCUAAACGGCUCAGCUGCAUUUUGGGCCGGCACAGAGGGUUUGCUCCCCUUUGCCUCUUUCAGCUCAUGGCUAAAGCAACAUCUCCCAUUUGGUCCUGUCACAGUAGCUCCUCCCCAGCUCACAUCUCCAGCCUCACCAGCAGCCCUUACACUUGGUUUCAUAACCCCUUGGUUAUGAACUCACUUGGUUCAGCUCUCCCCUACAGACAAGAAACAGAAGAAGUUAUGUUCUCCAGCUCUCCACCAAAUUUUCAGUCUGCUGAGUAGCAGCACUUCAAAAAUUACAAUAUACAAAGUGCCCAAAGUGAAGGAUGUUGUUCUUGGGAGAUAAUGUUCUCAAGCACAAAUUGCUUUUGACACUGGAAGUUUGGCUUCUAUGAACAGCUGCCUGGCAUUGGGCAGAGGGCAGCAGUGGAGGUGCUGGAACUGGUAUUUGUGAUAUUUACUGGUAAAUGUGUGCAAGUGAAAAGGAAAGAACUUCACUGGCAGAACCGUACUAAGUUAAUUUUGUAUGUCAUGUUUUUAUCAGCAUUAAUAUGAAUGUCAGACUUGUCCACUCAGAUUUGGAGGAUGUGAAAACAAGGCCCUGUGCUGUUUAAGUGUCUUCAAAUGGUAAUAAAAGCACCACAUGAUCCCCAAAAUGUGUGUUAAAAGGAGAAUACCAUUGCACUAUGGCUUGCUCACAGCAGAUAUAUGGUCCCAGUCACCUGGGCCAGACCCCAUCACUGAGGCACUGUCCACAUCCCGCUGUGUGCACGUGGGUCUGGACCAGCAUCCCCAAGGGGAGGAAAAGC
This is a long non-coding RNA of Numida meleagris (helmeted guineafowl), 4952 nucleotides long. RefSeq lists it as uncharacterized. NCBI's taxonomy places the organism in Eukaryota, Metazoa, Chordata, Aves, Galliformes, Numididae. The record is from RefSeq and is a predicted model, not a curated record. The transcript is spliced from 4 exons.